UGGCUCAGUGGAAAGAGCACGGGCUUAGGAGUCAGAGGUCAUGGGUUCAAAUCCCAU
RNAcentral lists this transfer RNA (57 nucleotides) under Ornithorhynchus anatinus (platypus). Lineage: Eukaryota; Metazoa; Chordata; Mammalia; Monotremata; Ornithorhynchidae. The record is from Rfam by way of RNAcentral.